Non-coding RNA from Erythranthe guttata (spotted monkey flower), 457 nucleotides. The record is from RefSeq and is a predicted model, not a curated record. Lineage: Eukaryota; Viridiplantae; Streptophyta; Magnoliopsida; Lamiales; Phrymaceae.
CCGAAAUAGAAAAAAAAAAAAGAAUGUUGUUAAUAACAAAAAUGUUGUGCACAAAGCAAGGCGGCGCAGUCAUGAUCCGCCACCAAGGCCAAGGCCGGCGGUGGAUGGUCGGCAAAGCCGCCAAUCGCGCCGCCGUGCACGGCUCUAAGCUUCCAGUCCCCGAUAUCAUCCCAAGGAAGGAAGUGGAAAAUGAAAUAAAUGUAGCCAUGGAAGAAAAAGGAAGAAAAAGAAUGGAGAUAGAAAAUGCAGUGGAUUCCCAAAUCAAGAACUGGAAAGUUCUCUACCUUGAAGACAUUGUCUGCUCCAAGUAAUAAAAAUUAACUACUUACUAACUGGAAUUACACAUUUUACUGUGUGCAAAUAAAUCUUCACUUUUGUAAUAACAUCAUCAAUCUUUUGCUAUGGUCAAUGCUUUGAAUGAAGACCACAUCAGAAGUAGGUUGUGGGUUGUGACAUA